Molecule: ribosomal RNA, 527 nt
Filed under: uncultured Glomus
Lineage: Eukaryota; Fungi; Glomeromycota; Glomeromycetes; Glomerales; Glomeraceae
Description: SSU rRNA
Rfam family: Eukaryotic small subunit ribosomal RNA
Source: RNAcentral
CGCAGCCGCGGUAAUUCCAGCUCCGAAUAGCGUAGUAUUAAAGGUUGUUGCAGUUAAAAAGCUCGUAGUUGAAUUUCGGGACUAAUAUGUCGGUCGUACUUUGUACGUACUAGCAUUAUUGGUUUCUCCCUUCUGACGAACCACGAUGUCAUUAAUUUGGUGUCGCGGGAAAUCAGGACUGUUACUUUGAAAAAAUUAGAGUGUUUAAAGCAAGCUCGCGCUUGAAUACAUUAGCAUGGAAUAAUGAAAUAGGACGUUUGAUUCUAUUUUGUUGGUUUCUAGGAUCGACGUAAUGAUUAAUAGGGAUAGUUGGGGGCAUUAGUAUUCAAUUGUCAGAGGUGAAAUUCUUGGAUUUAUUGAAGACUAACUACUGCGAAAGCAUUUUGCCAAGGAUGUCUUCAUUAAUCAAGAACGAAAGUUAGGGGACCGAAGACGAUCAGAUACCGUCGUAGUCUUAACCAUAAACUAUGCCGACUAGGGAUCGGAUGAUGUUAAUUUUUUUAAUGACUCAUUCGGCGCCUUUACGG